AUACUACUCCCUCCGUCCAACAAAGGAUGUCUCAACUUUGACUAAAUUUGAAUGCAUCUAUACACUAAGUCAUGUCUAGAUAUUUAAAUUUUGACAAACAUGAGACAUCUUUUGUUGGACGGAGAGAGUAAUAU
This is a non-coding RNA of Brachypodium distachyon (stiff brome), 134 nucleotides long. The record is from Rfam. NCBI's taxonomy places the organism in Eukaryota, Viridiplantae, Streptophyta, Magnoliopsida, Poales, Poaceae.